Molecule: ribosomal RNA, 301 nt
Filed under: uncultured bacterium
Lineage: Bacteria
Description: partial 16S ribosomal RNA
Rfam family: Bacterial small subunit ribosomal RNA
Source: RNAcentral
CAGUAGCCGCGGGAACACGUAGGGUGCGAGCGUUAAUCGGAGUUACUGGGCGUAAAGCGUGCGCAGGCGGUUUUGUAAGACAGGCGUGAAAUCCCCGGGCUCAACCUGGGAAUGGCGCUUGUGACUGCAAAGCUAGAGUGCGGCAGAGGGGGAUGGAAUUCCGCGUGUAGCAGUGAAAUGCGUAGAUAUGCGGAGGAACACCGAUGGCGAAGGCAAUCUCCUGGGCCUGCACUGUCGCUCAUGCACGAAAGCGCGGGGAGCAAAUGGGAUUAGAUACCCCCGUAGUCCCUGUCUCUUAUAA